AGCAGUAUUACAAUACUCAAUAGGGAUUCUACAAAAACAGAUCCUUGAAAACCAGCUAAAAUCAGAUCUCCCCUCUAAAAGACUACACUCGAUGAUUAAAUGCGAGUCAGACAGAAGAGCUGCAAUGUAUGAAAACUAGGAAAGUGAUACUAAUACUGUAGUUUCCAUGCUCUGUGUUUCUCUUCCACAAAUACCUCAGACACAAACAUAUCCCCACCCUCCCUCCCCAUCCUGUUUAAAAAUUACUAUUGAACACAAUUAGUCGUACUCCAAUAACACAUGAACUGUCAAAAUCAAUACCAGGUGUGUGAGAACAAUGGAUGGCUGAGACAGCUAGCUGAAGGAAUCUCCUCCAUGGCCCCCGCCUACAGUACGUGGAUUAUAUCAGAUGCUGCCCCCACUCCUCCCGUGAAAAAGUCAAAUACAAACAACUACUCGCGCCCCCCCCCCCCCCCCUUGCGUGGCUUCCGUUCAGAGCAGACUAUGGCAACCCUGCAGAGAGCAGAGGGGCACUCCCUUUAGCUUGACCUGUGACUGUUACUGGCUUGGCUGAGCGGUAGUGGGCAAGGCAAGUUUCUCCAGCUUCCACGGGGGACAGAAUGCCCUCUCGUCAUUGUCUACUGACACUGGGCUCAGCUGCCCCAGGGAGGGAGACACACACACACACACACCAAUAAACCCACGCUGUGUUUAUUGCCUAUACUCCUCCCGGGCAGGCUGGACAUUGAACUAAAGAGGACGAGGAGGUGGUUUUGUCAAUCGUUGACGAUGCAACGGUUUCGCGGGAUGGAAUGAGAAGCUGCUGUCGUUGAGGGCAGCGGCCAGCAUCGUGCGUGUGUGUAUAUCCAGCUCUGUACCUGUUCUGGUGUCGCUUCCCUCUGCCCGCUCUGUGCCACGUUUGGUGCCCAGCCUCGGCAUUUCCCAGCUCACUGGUGGAGACGCAGUACCGCAGCAUCACCUACAUUCACAACCCGCCCCUAACCUAACCAUAACGAGUAGAGAACACUGGAGAGGCAGAGAUCAACACGUGGGACUGGGGGCCCAGAGGUAAAAUUCCAAUUGAGCCAAAUACCAUAAAACACUGACUCACUCACCUUGCCCGUUCACACAGUCGCAGAGCGAGGCACAUGCCCAGGCACUGACAAGCAGAAGCCCAUUGACUGCAGAGAAUGAGUGAAGCAAGUCGCAGAGAGCAGUGUGUGGCUGUGGCACCGACUGGCUCCAGUAACAGAUGAAGGCCGUUAGCAGCCUGGGAUUGUAACUACAGAAUGAAGCCCUAACCCACUGUCUGUGCUUCUGCCUCCUCAUUACCAAGUAAACAGCGCGGGCCCACCAGAAGCAAACUUUCACCAGAACGGAAACACCACUGCAGGAUGGAGUGUUGGCCACCAAGCCUCCUACAGGUUGGUUGGAACAGCAAUCGGUCCUGUGAUCAGGCAUUCAUCAACUCACAGUGGAGAGUACCAGGGUGUUGCAGUGAGGAGGUGGUAGAGCAGUGGCUGGACACGCACACACAUCGUAACACCCUCCCUCCCAGGCCCAGCCACACAAUGAAAACAGUGCACUAAAAGAGGCUGUGAAUUAAAUCAGCACCUGCAGACUCCUUUUGCCUUCACGGGCUCAAACCCGAUGCUAUAAGCCAAGGCAACUAAUCUACAACUCAUUGGCUUCUACAAUUAGUUGUUACCCCCAAAAACAUGG
Long non-coding RNA from Amblyraja radiata (thorny skate), 1701 nucleotides. RefSeq lists it as uncharacterized. Lineage: Eukaryota; Metazoa; Chordata; Chondrichthyes; Rajiformes; Rajidae. The record is from RefSeq and is a predicted model, not a curated record. The transcript is spliced from 2 exons.